GAUCCUGGCUCAGGGUGAACGCUGGCGGCGUGCUUAAGACAUGCAAGUCGAACGGGCUCUUCGGAGCCAGUGGCGCACGGGUGAGUAACGCGUAACUGACCUACCCAGAAGUCCAGAAUAACGGGUCGAAAGAUCCGCUAAUACUGGAUGUGCAGUGUCGCUGUGGCGACACUGUAAAGAUUGAUCGCUUGUGGAUGGGGUUGCGUUUCAUCAGCUAGUUGGUGGGGUAAAGGCCU
RNAcentral lists this ribosomal RNA (236 nucleotides) under uncultured bacterium. Its description in RNAcentral is "partial 16S ribosomal RNA". It matches the Rfam family "Bacterial small subunit ribosomal RNA", at positions 15 to 266 of the family's 1533-position model. The record is from RNAcentral.